AGCGAACGCUGGCGGCAGGCCUAACACAUGCAAGUCGAACGAUCCUUCGGGAUAGUGGCGGACGGGUGAGUAACACGUGGGAACGUACCUUUAGGUUCGGGAUAACUCAGGGAAACUUGAGCUAAUACCGGAUGUGCCCUUCGGGGGAAAGAUUUAUCGCCUUUAGAGCGGCCCGCGUUAGAUUAGCUAGUUGGUGAGGUAAAGGCUCACCAAGGCUCCGAUCUAUAGCUGGUCUGAGAGGAUGAUCAGUCACACUGGGACUGAGACACGGCCCAGACUCCUACGGGAGGCAGCAGUGGGGAAUCUUGCGCAAUGGGCGAAAGCCUGACGCAGCCAUGCCGCGUGAAUGAUGGAGGUCUUAGGAUUGUAAAAUUCUUUUAGCAGGGACGAUAAUGACGGUACCUGCAGAAAAAGCCCCGGCUAACUUCGUGCCAGCAGCCGCCGUAA
RNAcentral lists this ribosomal RNA (447 nucleotides) under uncultured bacterium. RNAcentral's name for it is "partial 16S ribosomal RNA". It matches the Rfam family "Bacterial small subunit ribosomal RNA", at positions 29 to 523 of the family's 1533-position model. The record is from RNAcentral.